RNAcentral lists this ribosomal RNA (584 nucleotides) under uncultured bacterium. RNAcentral describes it as "partial 16S ribosomal RNA". It matches the Rfam family "Bacterial small subunit ribosomal RNA", at positions 355 to 1375 of the family's 1533-position model. The record is from RNAcentral.
UGGGGAAUUUUGGACAAUGGGCGAAAGCCUGAUCCAGCAAUGCCGCGUGUGUGAAGAAGGCCUUCGGGUUGUAAAGCACUUUUGUCCGGAAAGAAAUCCUUGGCUCUAAUACAGUCGGGGGAUGACGGUACCGGAAGAAUAAGCACCGGCUAACUACGUGCCAGCAGCCGCGGUAAUACGUAGGGUGCAAGCGUUAAUCGGAAUUACUGGGCGUAAAGCGUGCGCAGGCGGUUUGCUAAGACCGAUGUGAAAUCCCCGGGCUCAACCUGGGAACUGCAUUGGUGACUGGCAGGCUAGAGUAUGGCAGAGGGGGGUAGAAUUCCACGUGUAGCAGUGAAAUGCGUAGAGAUGUGGAGGAAUACCGAUGGCGAAGGCAGCCCCCUGGGCCAAUACUGACGCUCAUGCACGAAAGCGUGGGGAGCAAACAGGAUUAGAUACCCUGGUAGUCCACGCCCUAAACGAUGUCAACUAGUUGUUGGGGAUUCAUUCCUUAGUAACGUAGCUAACGCGCGAAGUUGACCGCCUGGGGAGUACGGUCGCAAGAUUAAAACUCAAAGGAAUUGACGGGGUCAUAGCUGUUUCCU